CCAGCUUGAAGGACCCCCCACCAUGGUCCCCGCCAAACUUGAUCCAGACUUGAUCUUCAGGGAUCACCCCAUCAUGAUUUGUGAGAAAUCCACUCCUGUGGAAAGAUGGGAUAUGGAAGAGUAGAGCUGGGAGAAGUUUUGCUUCCUUAGAAGUGGACAGUGAACUGGGAAAUAAACUACAGCCCUAACAAGGAUCACUAAACACCUCCAGUCUGUGACUCUUCUAUGGACCAAGCAAGUCCCUGCCCCCCCCCCCCCCCCCGGUUCAAAUGAGGAUUGGCCAACCUAGUCUUUUGUUAAUUGCCUUCAGACUGGAACUGCACAGUACAAGUCCUUAGUAUGCAGGAAUGGGGCUACAGCAGUGAUAGAGACACUACAUGUGACGGGGGGGAGAUCGGACAAUACAAUACCUGUUAAUCUGCUUCCUCGUACUGUUUGCCCAAUAUCUGAAGUCUUCCCCCCAAAGCCAGAUCUUCAUUCGACAGGACUUAAGUAGUUACCCACAGACAAGAAGAAUGAGGAAACUUAAGAUAACAAGGUGUCUGAAUUAUGGCAUGACCAUCUUCCUGGAGCUUCUUCCAAACGACGAAACUGGAGGCUCUUUCCACUGAUCUGGGAAUAUCAGCACUAUGUCGUAUUGCUUCUUCAAUCGCCACCCCAGCUUUUUGGAGAGUUACAUUUUGACGCUCUACCGGUCUUUCUUGCAGUUUGCAUAUAUGUUGUGAGAAUGUUUGUAGAAGUCCAGUUUUACCACAUACACAAUAAACUUCAAGUUCACAUAAAGUUGUGUACAAAAACCGAGGACUGCUAGUAACAUCAGCUAUGGAAAUGUUCUUGCUACAAAUUGGACAUGGUGAAACUGUACAUUUGUUAUAUAUGAAGUAUUUACUGAGGCACUCACUACAGAAGUUACAUGUAUGUUCACAAGAUGUUUGUACACUUGUACCACAUCCCAAAAUACACUGACAAAUUGCACAGGUGAAUAAAUUACAGUCAUGUUCAUGAACAGUUGAUAGUUGCUCAGAACUGGGAAUGACAAUACUUCCUUUAUGUAAAUGUUCAAAUAUGUUGCCAGCAGGAAUAGUAUACUCUAGAGAUUUUGUCUUGUGUAAAUGAUGGUAAGUGUACUUCCUUUUUUUCUGUGGAUUUAGUCUCCAUUUGUGAUGACAGAUGCGACAGUUUUUUCUCAAAUGUUUUGUCCACUGAAUAGUUGUAAAAUGCUGUGAGCCGUAGUUUCUUCUUCCAGAAGACUGGUGCUGAACUUUUCGUAGACAUUUUCGACAUAGAUGUUUGGGAUGGAUUUCAGCUUGAUCAUCAAACGUGCUUACAUCAAACACUGCAAGAAUUUCUUUUCUGUAUCUUUCAGUUGCGCAUUCUUUUAAUUUAUCAGUAGCAUGUACCCUUCCAGCACAUACUCUGCACAUUGAUGUCAGUACUUGUACAUGUUUCUCAAAACUCUCAUUUGCUGAUGUUGUCUAGUAAUAGAAAAAACAAUUAUAAUGAUUUUUUUUUAAUUUGAUAGCAGAAUAUUUAAUAAAAAUAAUGAAAAAUUAGCUACUGUAAUACAUAUACAGCAGAUUUGACUUGUUGAAAUGAACUCUCCCAGUAAAAUGAGAUCUUCACCCAAUCCAGGUACCCAUGAAUUACAUGUCUAUGAACUAAACUUUUUGCUCCUUUAUCUUAUCUACACAUCAGUUUCUUUAUGCAAUUUAUAAGUAAGGCCUUGUGUGACGUUUUUAUCAAGAUCAUAUCUAGAGGGGGAUCCAACAAGCCACUACU
This 1779-nucleotide long non-coding RNA is filed under the name Lytechinus variegatus (green sea urchin). RNAcentral's name for it is "uncharacterized LOC121427245". Lineage: Eukaryota; Metazoa; Echinodermata; Echinoidea; Temnopleuroida; Toxopneustidae. The record is from RNAcentral.